This 954-nucleotide ribosomal RNA is filed under the name Triticum aestivum (bread wheat). RNAcentral describes it as "partial small subunit ribosomal RNA". The record is from RNAcentral. Lineage: Eukaryota; Viridiplantae; Streptophyta; Magnoliopsida; Poales; Poaceae.
AUGGGUCGCCAACUGCCGCCGGCGGCGAAACCUCCGUCGAUCCCCUCCGCGGCCACCGCCACCGCCACCUACGCUACCGUCGCCGACGGAACCACCACCAUAUCCUCGCUCGGCCAAGACCAACUCCUCGAGAUCUUCCUCCGCUUGCCCAACCUGCUGGCGCUCGUCCGCGCCGCGCUCACCUGCCGCUCCUGGCUCGGCGCCGUCCGCUCCUCCCGGCCCUUCCGCCGCCUCUUCCGCGCCCUCCACCCGGCGCCACUCCUCGGGCUGUUCCUCGAAGUCGACGAAGAUGCCGCCCCCUCCUUCGCCCCCCUGCGCCGCACAGAUCCCGACGUCGCCGCCGCCCUCCGCCACGGCGACUUCUUCCUCACCUCCCUCCCCGCGUACACGGGCUGGGGCAUCGUGGACUGCCGCGACGGUUACAUCCUCCUGUGGAACUGGAACAUGAUGUCCGUCGCCGCCGUGAACCCCAUGACCUGGGCCGUGGACAUCAUCCCGUUGCCUGAGCCCGAGGAUGCCAAGGAAGGGUGUCUCCGUGGUUUCGCCUGGCUUGGUUCACGUCUGCUGUCUUGUGAGGAGAACCCCUGGUCGUUCUGGGUGGUCUGCGUCUGCGCCGACGUGUCUAGGGUUCGGGCUGCCGUCUUCUCGUCGGAAACAUGGGAUUGGGCCAUCCACCCGUGGGUUGAAAUCGGCGGUGACAACAGCCUCAAGUACAAUGCUGGCAUGCUGGUCCAUGGUUCCGUUUACUGGCCUUUCCAUGGCGAACACCGCAUGAUAAGGAUCAACACAGCCACCACCAUGGAGGUCACCAAUGUGGAUCUACCCUCGCAGGUGGAUGUGGAGAGGUGCAAUUACAAGGCUGGGGAGACUAAGGAUGGUCAGCUAUGCAUUGUCCAUGCAUCUCAUGAUGACUUCCUUCCUGCUCCAUGUUUGGAUCCGUGGUGUGGAUGGUGA